This 95-nucleotide ribosomal RNA is filed under the name uncultured fungus. RNAcentral describes it as "partial 5.8S ribosomal RNA". It matches the Rfam family "5.8S ribosomal RNA", at positions 63 to 154 of the family's 154-position model. Rfam says of the family: 5.8S ribosomal RNA (5.8S rRNA) is a component of the large subunit of the eukaryotic ribosome. It is transcribed by RNA polymerase I as part of the 45S precursor that also contains 18S and 28S rRNA. Lineage: Eukaryota; Fungi. The record is from RNAcentral.
UAAUGUGAAUUGCAGAAUUCAGUGAAUCAUUCGAAUCUUCGAACGCACCUUGCGCUCCUUGGUAUUCCGAGGAGCAUGCCUGUUUGAGUGUCAUC